CAGAAAUGCAAAAUGGCAUUGUACAACACUUACAAAAAAGUAUUUGAAAAUCUUUUGAGAAAUAUAUUUUAAAGCACAGCACUUGAAGAGUUCCAAAUUAACUUUGUUUGUGAUGUCAUAUUACUACUAUUGGUCAUGCUUUCUCAUCAGAACUAACCUCCAAGGAUUCAGCAUAAUGUCGCCGUGUGACUCUUUACAGCCAACAGGAUCGGCAGUGUUAAAUUGGAAAAGGAUAUCACUCUGCCAUUGCCGGAGAUCAUUUGUUAAAGGAUGCAAAGCAACUAAAAUGCACUUCUACCACCUCUUUUGGUCAAUUUUACUCAAAGGCCCCUUCUAAAAACACUAAGAGCAAGAGAAGCUUAAGGAGAGUUUUAAACCUGACAUAGAAACAAGUAAUGAUAGACUUCUGGACAAAAAGAAGGCAGGAAAACUCAAGAAAAUUGCUCUAGUCCAGCUUUUGUCUCAGAGCUGUAACCUCAACUUGGUAAUCAGUCAUAGUCAGUUCCUUCAUGAAUGAGGACUUUCACCUACUUUCUUCUCCAUUUUCCUCCUUGGGCAUAAUUUUAAUUCUAUUUAAGUAGAGUCUUUUCCAUCAUUGUAUAUUUCACUGUAAAUCACCGUGUUACUUAAACUAUUAAAACUGCACAACUACACAAGUCCUUGAAAAUGGGUGCUACAUUAUGUGUUGGGCUUGUCUUAUCACUUACUGUACAGUUUAGAGAUAAUAAAUCUAAUUGAUUCUCCCUUCUGUUAUCUAAACACCAGAGUCCGGCACAAACUGUGCAGCAAUAUUUAAAUGACCACAACACAAAGUCAACAUGAUGCUGUGGAAAAGAAUAGAGCAAUAUUCUUAAUUCUGAAAACCUGUAUUGGUAAUCAAUUGAAAUGUUGGAGCAAUUGAAGAGCUGUCCAAUUUUCAAUUGCAGUAUAAGUUGGGAAACAAUUUGAAAAUAAUGGCUCAUACAAAGAGUUUUUGAAACAGUCAAUAUGGUCUUCAUGUGAAGGACAAAUAAGAAUUUGGCAGUCUACCCAUUGUUUGGUCUUUAUGCAUUAGACAUUAUCUGCAGGACUCACCGCAGUGGCCCAGCUAAGAUCAGAGCUUGCAAUCUUUCAGUGUGACUCCCAUGAAAAUGUACUUAGAGGGAUAUUCAUUAUGGACACAUAGACAAAGAAUGUGUUGUAGCCUCACUUUGAUCAUUGUUGCUGACAUACAUUCAACAAACACUUGCUUUAGUGAGCUGAUGCACAUUUGAAAUGUUUAAUACCUGUGGUAUGUCAUUCUAAUAUUACUGUGUUGCACAUAGUGUGGUUUACUGAUGUCAAAAUAAAAUUUUCUGCCCAGCAAAUAUUAUGAUUUGGAGGCAACAUUUAUGCAGCUCUUCUUUGAUGUAAAUGAUCACUUCCAAACGUUGGCUCUUAACAUGAAUAAAGACACAAAUAUGUCAUUCCAUCUGUGGAUUUUCUUUAAAAAAUUUUAGAGGUUUAGACCAGCAGUACUCUAGUCUGUGUUAAUUUCCAUGGGAACUGCUGGCUGCAAGCUAGGUAUUUUUCACAUCACAUCCUUCAGAUGGUUAUCUCUGGUGUGACUGAGGAACUCACUUGACACCUUGAGCUUCUUAUCCUUCUCUGAGAUAAUCAGUGUCCAUCACCACAAGAACUGGGCCUUGACACAGAGACUCCAAAGGCAAGGACCAACAUGGUGAGGUACAUAGAGCAGGACUGAGAAUUCAGGAAAGUAAUGUUACACUCAUUAAUCCUUCUUAGUGUUUUGUUGUGUCUGUCCCAUGAAAAGGACAUUUUUAGAAAUGAAGAUGAGGAUCUAAACUUUGCCAGAUGCAUUUUGGUAAUCAGACAAUUCUUUAAUUUUCACAACAUAAAAGAAAACUCCAAGAAUGCUGUCUUUUCCAAGAACUUAAAAUAAUUUAAAAUAAAAAUGCUAAUGAAUUACAAAAAAAA
Long non-coding RNA from Vidua chalybeata, 1956 nucleotides. RefSeq lists it as uncharacterized. The transcript has 2 exons. The record is from RefSeq and is a predicted model, not a curated record. NCBI's taxonomy places the organism in Eukaryota, Metazoa, Chordata, Aves, Passeriformes, Viduidae.